Vitis vinifera (wine grape) is the source of this 2843-nucleotide RNA transcript. It is a transcript of the gene named putative disease resistance protein RGA1, with no coding region annotated. NCBI's taxonomy places the organism in Eukaryota, Viridiplantae, Streptophyta, Magnoliopsida, Vitales, Vitaceae. The transcript has 2 exons. The record is from RefSeq and is a predicted model, not a curated record.
AAUCAUCGGGAGCACUGCAUGAAAUUAUUGAUGUCCUUUUGACAACCUGGCAUGAUACCCCUCAGUCCUAAUCAAAGGGCCCAGUUUGAAUUAUUGAACCCAUACCAUUUUCUAAAUUUGCAAAGAUGAUUUCUGAUCAUCUCAUUUAUCUUGUUUAGCAUUGCAGUGAGCAGUCAUCAACAACUUCAACACCAUGGCUGAAUCGUUUUUGUUUAGCAUCGCAGACAACGUUCUGGGGAAGAUCGGCUCUGUCACUCUCCAAGAAAUUGGCUUAGCAUGGGGCGUCAAGACUGAACUGCAAAAGCUGGAAGCCACCUUAACCGCUAUCAAAUCCGUCCUCCUGGAUGCUGAGGAGAAGCAGUGGAAGGAUCGACAGCUACGUGAUUGGUUGGGAAAGCUCAAACAUGUGUGCUAUGAUGUGGAAGAUGUGCUCGAUGAAUUUCGGUACCAAGCUUUGCAGCGCCAAGUGGUGAGUCAUGGCAGCCUUAAAACAAAGGUACUUUGCUUCUUUUCAUCUUCAAAUCCGCUUCCAUUUAGCUUUAAAAUGGGCCAUAGAAUCAAGGAGGUGAGGGAGAGGUUGGAUGGCAUUGCAGCAGAUAGGGCUCGAUUCAAUCUACAGACUUGUAUGGAGAGGGCUCCUAUGGUGUACAGGGAGACCACCCACUCAUUUGUGCAUGCUUCCGAUGUUAUCGGAAGAGAUAAGGAUAAAGAAAAAGUUUUAGAGCUUUUGAUGAAUUCAAGUGAUGAUGAUGAGAGUAUUUCAGUCAUUCCCAUAGUUGGUCUUGGAGGUCUUGGAAAGACUACUCUUGCUAAACUAGUGUAUAAUGAUCAGUGGGUAGUUGGGCAUUUUAAGAAAAGAAUAUGGGUUUGUGUCUCCAAUGACUUUGAUAUGAAAAAGGUGAUUAUAGAUAUUAUUAAAUCAAUCAAAACUACUGUGGAAGGGGGGAGUGGUCUUGGUUUGCCAAACCACAAUGAUUUGAAUAUGGAGCAAGCACAAACUCUUCUUCGUAGGACUUUAGGAAAUGAAAAAAUUUUUCUUGUCUUGGAUGAUAUGUGGAAUGAGGACCGCCAAAAAUGGAUUGAACUCAGAACUUUUUUAAUGAAUGGUGCAAAGGGCAAUAAAAUUGUUGUAACAACGCGGGGUCAUCCGGUGGCUUCGAUCAUGGGCACUGUUCAAGCAUAUAUUUUAGAGGGUCUUCCCCAUGACUAUUGUCUGUCUGUGUUUCUAAAAUGGGCAUUUAAUGAAGGGCAAGAGAAACAACAUCCAAACCUUGUAAAAAUUGGGGACGACAUUGUAAAGAAGUGUAAUGGAGUUCCUUUGGCGGCAAGGACUUUGGGGAGCCUACUUUUCUCAAAAUUUGAGCAAAGGGAUUGGUUAUAUGUGAGAAAUAAUGACAUAUGGAAAUUAGAACAAAAGGAAGGUGAUAUUUUACCUGCUUUAAGGUUGAGUUAUGAACAAUUGCCCUCUUACUUAAAAUGUUGCUUUGCAUACUGCUCAAUUUUUCCCAAGGAUGAAGUGCUUAAUAAUUUAAGUUUGGUUUGCAUGUGGAGUGCACAAGGGCUCAUUGAACCAUCCAAAAAGAAGCAAGAGUUGGACGACAUCGGAAACAGAUAUAUUAAAGAAAUGUUAUCGAGAUCCUUCUUUCAAGACUUUAAGAUCAUCAAUUGUAUUUUACAUUUAAAAUGCAUGAUCUGAUUCAUGAUCUUGCAUCAUUCAUAUCACAAACUGAGUGCACUGUCAUAGAUUGUGUAAGCCCAACUGUCUCUAGAAUGGUUCGCCAUGUGUCAUUUAGUUAUGAUUUGGAUGAGAAAGAAAUCUUAAGUGUUGUUGGUGAGCUAAAUGACAUUCGUACAAUUUAUUUCCCCUUUGUGUUGGAGACAUCACGUGGCGAACCAUUUCUUAAAGCUUGCAUCUCAAAGUUCAAAUGCAUUAAGAUGCUAGAUUUAGCGGGUUCGAACUUUGACACAUUGCCAAAUUCUAUCAGUAAUCUAAAGCAUCUCAGACUUCUCAACCUUAGUGACAAUAAGAGGAUAAAGAAACUUCCAAAUUCAGUAUGCAAGUUGUUUCAUCUGCAAACGUUGUCGCUUUACAAAUGUGAGGGAUUCAAGAAUCUGCCCAAGGAGUUUGGGAACCUCAUCAGUUUGAGGCAUUUAUGGAUCACCACGAAAUAGAGGGCUUUGACAGGGAUAGGAUGCCUGGAAUCUCUUCGUAUUUUAAGGAUUUUCGAAUGUGAAAAUCUAGAAUUUCUGCUUCAAGGGACGCAAAGCCUCACUAGCCUUCAAUCAUUGUCUAUGCGCGGUUGUAGGAGUUUGGAGACUUUGGCACCUAGCAUGAAACAACUGCCCUCGUUAAAGCAUCUCUUGAUUAGCGAUUGCGAAAGGCUCAAUUCACUGGAUGGAAAUGGGGAAGACCACAUUCCAAGGCUCGAGAAUCUACGGUAUUUGUUGCUUUCAAAAUUACCAAAGUUGGAGGCAUUGCCAGAGUGGAUGCGCAACCUCACAUCCCUUGACAAAUUUGUGAUUAAAGGAUGCCCUCAAUUGACUGAAAGAUGCAAGAAAACAACAGGGGAGGAUUGGCAUAAAAUCUCUCAUGUCUUAGAGAUAUAUAUUGAUGGCAUCAAAACACCAGAAAAUUAAGCAAGGAGAUCCACUCAGAGUGAUGAUGAAGCCUAACAUGGAUUUGAGCAAGACACAUUCUUUUUUCCUUUUUUACUUUUUGCCUUUCAAGUAAAAGCAGUUUAUUCAUUUAUGUAAUUUCAUCAAUUGGGGGAGUGUUAUUGAACGAAAGUCUGGAAUCUAUUUAUUUUCCGUAAAUAUAAAGCUUAAGCCACUUCUUUUCAAUA